AUGCGGAGCUCUUCUGCACUUUGCUGCUCAC
This 31-nucleotide non-coding RNA is filed under the name Rattus norvegicus (Norway rat). The record is from RNAcentral. Lineage: Eukaryota; Metazoa; Chordata; Mammalia; Rodentia; Muridae.